AAAUUGAAGAGUUUGAUCAUGGCUCAGAUUGAACGCUGGCGGCAGGCCUAACACAUGCAAGUCGAACGGUAACAGGAAGAAGCUUGCUUCUUUGCUGACGAGUGGCGGACGGGUGAGUAAUGUCUGGGAAACUGCCCGAUGGAGGGGGAUAACUACUGGAAACGGUAGCUAAUACCGCAUAACGUCGCAAGACCAAAGAGGGGGACCUUCGGGCCUCUUGCCAUCGGAUGUGCCCAGAUGGGAUUAGCUUGUUGGUGAGGUAACGGCUCACCAAGGCGACGAUCCCUAGCUGGUCUGAGAGGAUGACCAGCCACACUGGAACUGAGACACGGUCCAGACUCCUACGGGAGGCAGCAGUGGGGAAUAUUGCACAAUGGGCGCAAGCCUGAUGCAGCCAUGCCGCGUGUAUGAAGAAGGCCUUCGGGUUGUAAAGUACUUUCAGCGGGGAGGAAGGGAGUAAAGUUAAUACCUUUGCUCAUUGACGUUACCCGCAGAAGAAGCACCGGCUAACUCCGUGCCAGCAGCCGCGGUAAUACGGAGGGUGCAAGCGUUAAUCGGAAUUACUGGGCGUAAAGCGCACGCAGGCGGUUUGUUAAGUCAGAUGUGAAAUCCCCGGGCUCAACCUGGGAACUGCAUCUGAUACUGGC
This 647-nucleotide ribosomal RNA is filed under the name Escherichia albertii. RNAcentral describes it as "bacterial SSU rRNA". It matches the Rfam family "Bacterial small subunit ribosomal RNA", at positions 1 to 637 of the family's 1533-position model. Lineage: Bacteria; Pseudomonadati; Pseudomonadota; Gammaproteobacteria; Enterobacterales; Enterobacteriaceae. The record is from RNAcentral.